This 582-nucleotide long non-coding RNA is filed under the name Carica papaya (papaya). Its description in RNAcentral is "long non-coding RNA (CPAP_LNC011306)". Lineage: Eukaryota; Viridiplantae; Streptophyta; Magnoliopsida; Brassicales; Caricaceae. The record is from RNAcentral.
AGUAUAAACUAUGUACGGGAUAAAGAAGCUCAUGUAAUGAGCUAGCAGCCAGCGACAAAAGACGAGCAAAAGACGAAGAGGCAGAUCGUCGGAUAAUAUGGAGUCUCUAAGGUCGAUGGGCAAAGACAAAUACUGAGGGUAAUAGAGGAAGACUCACAUCUUGGGAAAGAUACUAUUUAUUAGCAUCAAUAUCAUUACAAACAUCCUCAUCAAGAAUGGUUCUUGCGCAGUUCCUUCUUGCCUCACUCGUCUCUAACCAGUCAAGGCUUAAAUUCGCAGUGUAAUUUAUUACCUUCAGGACCAAUAUCCUCAUCAAGAAAGAUAAUUUAAUUCACCGUCAAGGUUAGAUUUCAAAGAAAACUGACCUUGAUGAUUACAGACACUCCCCUCGCUAUACACGCAACUUCCUAAACUGCGAAUUUAAACCUUGACGUAAGAAGGGACUUCCCCAAGAACCAUUCUUGAUAAUAACGUCCGUUCUGACAUUGAUGCUAAUAGAUAGCAUCUUCUCUAAGAAAUGAGUCUUCUUCUUCUAUUAGCCUCAUUACCUGCCUGCGUACAAUCCUCCCACCGAUUCUUGAG